RNAcentral lists this ribosomal RNA (597 nucleotides) under Rhodotorula mucilaginosa. Its description in RNAcentral is "partial large subunit ribosomal RNA". It matches the Rfam family "Eukaryotic large subunit ribosomal RNA", at positions 45 to 658 of the family's 3401-position model. The record is from RNAcentral. Lineage: Eukaryota; Fungi; Basidiomycota; Microbotryomycetes; Sporidiobolales; Sporidiobolaceae.
AAAAAGCGGAGGAAAAGAAACUAACAAGGAUUCCCCUAGUAGCGGCGAGCGAAGCGGGAAGAGCUCAAAUUUAUAAUCUGGCACCUUCGGUGUCCGAGUUGUAAUCUCUAGAAAUGUUUUCCGCGUUGGACCGCACACAAGUCUGUUGGAAUACAGCGGCAUAGUGGUGAGACCCCCGUAUAUGGUGCGGACGCCCAGCGCUUUGUGAUACAUUUUCGAAGAGUCGAGUUGUUUGGGAAUGCAGCUCAAAUUGGGUGGUAAAUUCCAUCUAAAGCUAAAUAUUGGCGAGAGACCGAUAGCGAACAAGUACCGUGAGGGAAAGAUGAAAAGCACUUUGGAAAGAGAGUUAACAGUACGUGAAAUUGUUGGAAGGGAAACGCUUGAAGUCAGACUUGCUUGCCGAGCAAUCGGUUUGCAGGCCAGCAUCAGUUUUCCGGGAUGGAUAAUGGUAAAGAGAAGGUAGCAGUUUCGGCUGUGUUAUAGCUCUCUACUGGAUACAUCCUGGGGGACUGAGGAACGCAGUGUGCCUUUGGCGGGGGUUUCGACCUCUUCACACUUAGGAUGCUGGUGGAAUGGCUUUAAACGACCCGUCUUGAC